This 73-nucleotide transfer RNA is filed under the name Camelus bactrianus (Bactrian camel). It matches the Rfam family "tRNA". From Rfam's summary of the family: Transfer RNA (tRNA) molecules are approximately 80 nucleotides in length. Their secondary structure includes four short double-helical elements and three loops (D, anti-codon, and T loops). The record is from Rfam by way of RNAcentral. Lineage: Eukaryota; Metazoa; Chordata; Mammalia; Artiodactyla; Camelidae. RNAcentral also lists the same sequence under 2 other names.
GAGGGUAUAGCUCAGUGGUACAGCACAUGCUUAGCAUGCAUGAGACCCUGGGAUGGAUUCCCCGGUACCUCCA